CCUACGGGAGGCUGCAGUGGGGAAUAUUGGACAAUGGGCGAAAGCCUGAUCCAGCCAUGCCGCGUGUGUGAAGAAGGCCUUCGGGUUGUAAAGCACUUUCAGUGGGGAAGAAAGCCUUGGGGCUAAUACCCUCGAGGAAGGACAUCACCCACAGAAGAAGCACCGGCUAACUCCGUGCCAGCAGCCGCGGUAAUACGGAGGGUGCGAGCGUUAAUCGGAAUUACUGGGCGUAAAGCGCGCGUAGGCGGUCUGAUAAGCCGGUUGUGAAAGCCCCGGGCUCAACCUGGGAACGGCAUCCGGAACUGUCAGGCUAGAGUGCAGGAGAGGAAGGUAGAAUUCCCGGUGUAGCGGUGAAAUGCGUAGAGAUCGGGAGGAAUACCAGUGGCGAAGGCGGCCUUCUGGAAUGACACUGACGCUGAGGUGCGAAAGCGUGGGUAGCAAACAGGAUUAGAUACCCUGGUAGUC
This 465-nucleotide ribosomal RNA is filed under the name Vreelandella stevensii. RNAcentral describes it as "partial 16S ribosomal RNA". It matches the Rfam family "Bacterial small subunit ribosomal RNA", at positions 338 to 795 of the family's 1533-position model. The record is from RNAcentral. Lineage: Bacteria; Pseudomonadati; Pseudomonadota; Gammaproteobacteria; Oceanospirillales; Halomonadaceae.